This 255-nucleotide ribosomal RNA is filed under the name uncultured bacterium. Its description in RNAcentral is "partial 16S ribosomal RNA". It matches the Rfam family "Bacterial small subunit ribosomal RNA", at positions 524 to 777 of the family's 1533-position model. The record is from RNAcentral.
UACGGGGGGGGGCAAGCGUUGUUCGGAAUUACUGGGCGUAAAGGGCUCGCAGGCGGCCGACUAAGUCAGACGUGAAAUCCCUUGGCUUAACCAAGGAAUGGCGUCUGAUACUGGACGGCUUGAAUCCGGGAGAGGGAUGUGGAAUUCCAGGUGUAGCGGUGAAAUGCGUAGAUAUCUGGAGGAACACCGGUGGCGAAGGCGGCAUCCUGGACCGGUAUUGACGCUGAGGAGCGAAAGCCAGGGGAGCAAAGCGGG